UAGGUAGCCAAAGCAGAGAGAGAAGGCAGC
This 30-nucleotide non-coding RNA is filed under the name Homo sapiens (human). The record is from RNAcentral. Lineage: Eukaryota; Metazoa; Chordata; Mammalia; Primates; Hominidae.